AGUGGGGAAUUUUGGACAAUGGGCGCAAGCNUGAUCCAGCAAUGCCGCGUGCAGGAAGAAGGCCUUCGGGUUGUAAACUGUUUUUGUCCGGGAGGAAAAGUUCUGGUUUAAUACCCUGGGCUCAUGACGGUACCGUAAGAAUAAGCACCGGCUAACUACGUGCCAGCAGCCGCGGUAAUACGUAGGGUGCAAGCGUUAAUCGGAAUUUCUGGGCGUAAAGCGUGCGCAGGCGGUUUUGUAAGACAGGCGUGAAAUCCCCGGGCUCAACCUGGGAAUGGCGCUUGUGACUGCAAAGCUGGAGUGCGGCAGAGGGGGAUGGAAUUCCGCGUGUAGCAGUGAAAUGCGUAGAUAUGCGGAGGAACACCAAUGGCGAAGGCAAUCCCCUGGGCCUGCACUGACGCUCAUGCACGAAAGCGUGGGGAGCAAACAGGAUUAGAUACCCUGGUAGUCCACGCCCUAAACGAUGUCAACUGGUUGUUGGUCCUCAGCUGGUUCAGUAACGAAGCUAACGCGUGAAGUG
This 520-nucleotide ribosomal RNA is filed under the name uncultured beta proteobacterium. Its description in RNAcentral is "bacterial SSU rRNA". It matches the Rfam family "Bacterial small subunit ribosomal RNA", at positions 353 to 866 of the family's 1533-position model. Lineage: Bacteria; Pseudomonadati; Pseudomonadota; Betaproteobacteria. The record is from RNAcentral.